UUUUAAUCUUGAUUAAUUAUUGAUUUAUUAAACUAAACUCUUAUUAAAUAAUAAAAAUCAAAUAAUCAAGAGUUCUAUCAUUAUUAUUUUCAAGUAAAUCAAAACUCUACUUUAUUUUCAAGAUAAAAUAAAACUUUUUUUAAAUUAAAUAAAAACUCUACUUUAUUUUCAAAAUAAAAUAAAACUUAUUUCACAAUAAAAUCAAAACAGUUCCAAAUAAUGCAACUAAAACACUCGAUCAACUUUUAGUUUUUUUUUUCUGCUUAUCCGAAGCGGUUAAAAUAUUCAAACUCUUUUUCUAAACAAACACGAAAGAAG
Molecule: long non-coding RNA, 318 nt
Filed under: Lathyrus oleraceus (garden pea)
Lineage: Eukaryota; Viridiplantae; Streptophyta; Magnoliopsida; Fabales; Fabaceae
Description: Pisum sativum (pea) long non-coding RNA (PSAT_LNC000145)
Source: RNAcentral